Molecule: long non-coding RNA, 906 nt
Filed under: Durio zibethinus
Lineage: Eukaryota; Viridiplantae; Streptophyta; Magnoliopsida; Malvales; Malvaceae
Description: long non-coding RNA (DZIB_LNC000350)
Source: RNAcentral
CUAAGGAUAGCAAUAGUGAAAAAAUCAAAGAAGUUAAGAGGAUUAUUUGGGAAAGAACCUGACAAUUAUAUAUACAUUGCAAAGGCAGGGAUUUAGUUUUAGGAUGAUGGAGUUUUGUUGAGUUAAUACCUUAAAACUUUCACCAUCUUUGAUUUGCAGGACCAACCGACGGGUUGUCUUAUUUUCUGCUGGUCCCAUGGUUACUCUUGACCCUUGUCUUGGUUCUGUGGUAACAAGUUCACAAGUAGAGCCAUCUGGCUUAUUUAUUGAUUCAUUCAAGAGGACAAUUACAGCUAUUGCUUGUGAAAAUUUUGAGAUUCAAGCGAAAGAAUAUCAAAAACAUCGAUUCAAUUGAUGACCAUGAGAAAGCUCUAUCUAAGAUUCAAACAUAAAGGCUACCUUCAUGUUGACACCCGAUGCCAAAGUCUUCCUUGCCAAAUGCUGUAACAUCAGAUCAAAUUGUCAAUACUCCAGGAAUUGGACCAGGGCCGUUUACAGGUUUUGUUCAUUGUCUCAGGAUGUUUGCUAGAGAAUUUUCCAGCAUCACUUGCCAUUUCACUAACAUGCUGAAGCCUCUUGCUGUUCCAGUUUAAUAGGAAUUAUCAAUAUUGACUAAAGUAUAGAUGAGAAAAAUAAAGAAAGAACAAAUCUAGUAAGACGCUAAAGCAUGAUAACAUUGAGAAAACAUAUAUAUACUAGAUUUCUUAAAGGAAAAAAAGGUUAUUAUUCUAUUGGGUUUCGCCGACCCCAGUACAAGAAAUGGGGUAUUUGACAUUGAUGAACCCUUCACGAGUGGAAUAAUCAUAAUCAAUGUCUACUUGAUCAUGUCUUACAUGCAAUAAUAUCAACAAGAUGAUCACGAUGGUCCUUAUAUGAUCUGUUGAUAAAAUAUUUAAUUUUUAAUUU